This 230-nucleotide non-coding RNA is filed under the name Peptococcaceae bacterium. RNAcentral's name for it is "T-box sequence". It matches the Rfam family "T-box leader". Rfam says of the family: Uncharged tRNA acts as the effector for transcription antitermination of genes in the T-box leader family. T-boxes are found upstream of many aminoacyl-tRNA synthetase genes and some amino acid biosynthetic genes usually in Gram-positive bacteria. Lineage: Bacteria; Bacillati; Bacillota; Clostridia; Eubacteriales; Peptococcaceae. The record is from RNAcentral.
UGAAAGACGAUGACAGGGAGAAGUACGCCGAUCAGCGGCUUACAGAGAGCCAAGGGGUGGUGGGACUUGGCAGCCAAGAGCGGUGGAAAUACACCCUUGAGUUGCGGGCUGAACUUACAGUAGGCCUUGCCGUAUGCCGGCGUUAACGGCUGCGGGAGUGAUGGCUCCCUAAGAGAGGGUUCCUUAUGGAAUCAACUCAGGUGGUACCGCGGCUAUUAGUCGUCCUGUGC